Cinara cedri is the source of this 588-nucleotide non-coding RNA. The record is from the annotation of a GenBank genome assembly. NCBI's taxonomy places the organism in Eukaryota, Metazoa, Arthropoda, Insecta, Hemiptera, Aphididae.
CCAUUUAGUUAGUUAGGUAUCUAUAUACUUAACACAAUACUAAUAUAUAUUGUUUAAAGUUCGUGUGCAAUAUGACUCGUCCCUGAGAUUUUCUCGUUAGUUCGAUGAUCAAUUUUUUUAUAAUAGCCGAAUAUUUACUAUUUUUUAGAUUCAGAGCGCAACGAGGAAUGUACUGAUUUUACUAUGAUGUAGGUAUUUUUUUUUAAUUCUGAGUGUAGGUGAUGGGAAAUUAGAAGGUACAUAAAGUUAAUUCCACAGGUAAUCUUAAUAUUAUCUCCCGCUGAAUAAGUAAUUAAAUUGCCUGGUUUCAGUUCGCAAGAAUGAUGCCGAUUGAAAAUAUUAAACCCUCCUUUCCUUUCUCUUUAUUCGUAUCGUUAAAUUAUUAUAAUCAUAUAUUUUCGUAUUAUUGAAUUAUGUUCUGUUAUUCGGUUAUUUUGAUUUUUGUAUAAUUAUGUUGCCUAAGAACGUAAUUAAAUUUUGACUGUUAACAAUGACAUGUUAAAAAGUAGACCAUUUUAGUGGAAGGCUCUAAUUGUAGUAGAAAACUACUAUUUGUACCUAUACUUAUUUAUUAUAUUUGUUAAGCAA